UGAAUCCUCAUUCGACAAAAUGUACCCCACUCCCCUGGCAUAUAAUGAUUUUAUCGCUUUUUAUUUCUUUAAUUCCUUGACUGUUUAUUUAGCUACUAACAAAAGAAUAAAAUCAACCAUUUCCAAAAAUAUAAAAAAAAUAAGACCCGAUCCAACGUCGAGUAUUUUCUCAAUCAACAAAUCAAUUCACUUCUUCCUCCCAUUCUAUUCCAUUUCUUUCAAACCUUCAUCAAAUGCUUGAUCCAACGUCAAGC
This 254-nucleotide long non-coding RNA is filed under the name Lathyrus oleraceus (garden pea). RNAcentral's name for it is "Pisum sativum (pea) long non-coding RNA (PSAT_LNC015965)". The record is from RNAcentral. Lineage: Eukaryota; Viridiplantae; Streptophyta; Magnoliopsida; Fabales; Fabaceae.